AACGAACGCUGGCGGCAGGCCUAACACAUGCAAGUCGAGCGAGGACUUCGGUUCUAGCGGCGGACGGGUGAGUAACGCGUGGGAAUGUGCCCUUCUCUACGGAAUAGCCCUGGGAAACUGGGAGUAAUACCGUAUACGCCCUAUUGGGGAAAGAUUUAUCGGAGAAGGAUCAGCCCGCGUUGGAUUAGGUAGUUGGUGGGGUAAUGGCCUACCAAGCCGACGAUCCAUAGCUGGUUUGAGAGGAUGAUCAGCCACACUGGGACUGAGACACGGCCCAGACUCCUACGGGAGGCAGCAGUGGGGAAUCUUAGACAAUGGGGACAACCCUGAUCUAGCCAUGCCGCGUGAGUGAUGAAGGCCUUAGGGUUGUAAAGCUCUUUCAGCUGGGAAGAUAAUGACGGUACCAGCAGAAGAAGCCCCGGCUAACUCCGUG
This 433-nucleotide ribosomal RNA is filed under the name uncultured bacterium. RNAcentral's name for it is "partial 16S ribosomal RNA". It matches the Rfam family "Bacterial small subunit ribosomal RNA", at positions 29 to 507 of the family's 1533-position model. The record is from RNAcentral.